RNAcentral lists this ribosomal RNA (425 nucleotides) under uncultured prokaryote. Its description in RNAcentral is "bacterial SSU rRNA". It matches the Rfam family "Bacterial small subunit ribosomal RNA", at positions 355 to 796 of the family's 1533-position model. The record is from RNAcentral.
CAACGAAUCUUCCGCAAUGCGCGAAAGCGUGACGGAGCAAUGCCGCGUGCAGGAUGAAGCCCCUCGGGGUGUAAACUGCUGUCAGGGUUCAGCAACACAAUGAGCAGACCCAAAGGAAGGGCCGGCUAACUUCGUGCCAGCAGCCGCGGUAAUACGAAGGGCCCGAGCGUUGCGCGGAAUCACUGGGCUUAAAGCGUACGUAGGCGGACAAGCAGGUACUUUGUGAAAGCCCUCGGCUCAACCGAGGAAUCGCUUGGUAAACCGUUUGUCUUGAGGCGAGUAGGGGCUGCCGGAACGAUAGGUGGAGCGGUGAAAUGCGUUGAUAUCUAUCGGAACGCCAAAGGCGAAGGCAGGCAGCUGGGCUCGUUCUGACGCUGAGGUACGAAAGCGUGGGGAGCGAACGGGAUUAGAUACCCCCGUAGUCC